Molecule: ribosomal RNA, 249 nt
Filed under: uncultured bacterium
Lineage: Bacteria
Description: partial 16S ribosomal RNA
Rfam family: Bacterial small subunit ribosomal RNA
Source: RNAcentral
GUCACCUACGGGACGCAGCAGUAGGGAAUCUUCCACAAUGGGCGAAAGCCUGAUGGAGCAACGCCGCGUGGGUGAAGAAGGUCUUCGGAUCGUAAAACCCUGUUGUUAGAGAAGAAAGUGCGUGAGAGUAACUGUUCACGUUUCGACGGUAUCUAACCAGAAAGCCAAGGCUAACUACGUGCCAGCAGUCGCGGUAAUACGUAGGUGGCAAGCGUUAUCCGGAUUUAUUGGGCGUACAGGGAACGCAGG